RNAcentral lists this transfer RNA (73 nucleotides) under Nocardioides sp. CER19. RNAcentral's name for it is "tRNA-Lys". It matches the Rfam family "tRNA". Rfam says of the family: Transfer RNA (tRNA) molecules are approximately 80 nucleotides in length. Their secondary structure includes four short double-helical elements and three loops (D, anti-codon, and T loops). Further hydrogen bonds mediate the characteristic L-shaped molecular structure. tRNAs have two regions of fundamental functional importance: the anti-codon, which is responsible for specific mRNA codon recognition, and the 3' end, to which the tRNAs corresponding amino acid is attached (by aminoacyl-tRNA synthetases). tRNAs cope with the degeneracy of the genetic code in two manners: having more than one tRNA (with a specific anti-codon) for a particular amino acid; and 'wobble' base-pairing, i.e. permitting non-standard base-pairing at the 3rd anti-codon position. The record is from RNAcentral. Lineage: Bacteria; Bacillati; Actinomycetota; Actinomycetes; Propionibacteriales; Nocardioidaceae.
GGGCCUCUAGCUCAAUUGGCAGAGCAGCGGACUUUUAAUCCGUUAGUUGUGGGUUCGAGUCCCACGGGGCCUA